AUACGUAGGGGGCGAGCGUUGUCCGGAAUGAUUGGGCGUAAAGGGCGCGUAGGCGGCGCGGUAAGUCUGGAGUGAAAGUCCUGCUUUCAAGGUGGGAAUUGCUUUGGAUACUGCCGCGCUUGAGUGCAGGAGAGGUUAUCGGAAUUCCCGGUGUAGCGGUGAAAUGCGUAGAGAUCGGGAGGAACACCAGUGGCGAAGGCGGGUAACUGGACUUCAACUGACGCGGAGGCGCGAAAGGGUGGGGAGCAAACAGGAUUAGAUACCCUGGUAGUCCACACUGUAAACGAGGAAUGCUAGGUGUAAGAGGUAUCGACCCCUUUUGUGCCGGAGUCAACACAAUAAGCAUUCCGCCUGGGGAGUACGGCCGCAAGGUUGAAACUCAAAGGAAUUGACGGGG
Molecule: ribosomal RNA, 397 nt
Filed under: uncultured bacterium
Lineage: Bacteria
Description: partial 16S ribosomal RNA
Rfam family: Bacterial small subunit ribosomal RNA
Source: RNAcentral